ACAGCUUUGGUCCUGGGCUUACCGUUAUUUUUUGUUGAGUUUAUACAUGCAAGCCUCCGCAAACCAGUGAAAAUGCCCAAAAAUCCCAGAAAGAUAAAUGGAGCAGGCAUCAGGCUCUAUCAACCUAGGCCCAUAACGCCUUGCUACGCCACACCCCCACGGGUAAAUCAGCAGUAAUAAACAUUGGGCCAUAAGUGCAAACUUGACCCAACUACAACAAUGUAGGGCUGGUUAAUUUCGUGCCAGCCACCGCGGUUAUACGAAAAGCCCAAAAUAACGACUGACGGCGUAAAAUGUGACUAGAGAUUCUUACAUUAAGAGUAUUAAAAUUCGCUAACCUGUUGUAAAACACAAGGACAGCGGAGAAAACCUAAACAAAUACUUCUAAUUUUAUAUUCUUGACCACACGAAAGCUUAGAAACAAACUAGGAUUAGAUACCCUACUAUGCUAAGCCCUAAACAUUGAUUGACCCUAUACAAACUUUCCGCCAGAGAACUACAAGUGAAAAACUUAAAACUCAAAGGACUUGACGGUGCCCCACAUCGGCCUAGAGGAGCCUGUCCUGUAAUCGAUACUCCCCGCUCCACCCGACCUUAACUAGUACAUAUACCAGCCUAUAUACCGCCGUCGAUCAGUCUACCCCAUGAGGGUCCAACAGUAGACACAAUAGCCAAGUCGCUAGUACGUCAGGUCAAGGUGUAGCAAAUGUUAAGGAAGAGAUUGGCUACAUUUUUUAUGAUAAAAAACACGAAUAACACCAUGAAACAGUGCAUGAAGGUGAAUUUAGUAGUAAAACAAACAAGAGAGUUUAUUUUAACAACGCCCUGGGACGCGUACACACCGCCCGUCACCCUCCUCAACAACACAAAUUUUAUCUCUAUAAACAAAAAAGUUACAUAGAGGAGGCAAGUCGUAACAUGGUAAGCGCACCGGAAGGUGUGCUUGGACUAAC
RNAcentral lists this non-coding RNA (953 nucleotides) under Algyroides marchi. RNAcentral describes it as "partial small subunit ribosomal RNA". It matches the Rfam family "Bacterial small subunit ribosomal RNA". The record is from RNAcentral. Lineage: Eukaryota; Metazoa; Chordata; Lepidosauria; Squamata; Lacertidae.